RNAcentral lists this unclassified non-coding RNA (323 nucleotides) under fungal sp. Its description in RNAcentral is "partial internal transcribed spacer region". The stretch from base 1 to 46 matches the Rfam family "Eukaryotic small subunit ribosomal RNA", at positions 1786 to 1831 of the family's 1831-position model. The record is from RNAcentral. Lineage: Eukaryota; Fungi.
AAGUCGUAACAAGGUUUCCGUAGGUGAACCUGCGGAAGGAUCAUUAACACAUCUCCACAAAACGUAUCCCGAUACGUAUACACCCCCUUUUUUAUGGUGAACUCUGUUGGGAAGUGCAUCAUAGCUUUCGGGCUCCCUGACCGCUUCCGCUUUUUCUUCUUCUUCUUCUAAAAACAACAACCCCAUUAUACCUUUUUUUGACUGAACCUGUGUGUUUUCUUGGUGUUUCCUUUUUUUUUAAAACCAAAAAAGGAAAACCCCAAAAAAAAUCACAACCUAAGAAAUGAAAAAAACAACUCUUAGCAACGGAUAUCUUGGCUCUC